This 74-nucleotide transfer RNA is filed under the name Candidatus Zixiibacteriota bacterium. Its description in RNAcentral is "tRNA-Ile". It matches the Rfam family "tRNA". From Rfam's summary of the family: Transfer RNA (tRNA) molecules are approximately 80 nucleotides in length. Their secondary structure includes four short double-helical elements and three loops (D, anti-codon, and T loops). Further hydrogen bonds mediate the characteristic L-shaped molecular structure. tRNAs have two regions of fundamental functional importance: the anti-codon, which is responsible for specific mRNA codon recognition, and the 3' end, to which the tRNAs corresponding amino acid is attached (by aminoacyl-tRNA synthetases). tRNAs cope with the degeneracy of the genetic code in two manners: having more than one tRNA (with a specific anti-codon) for a particular amino acid; and 'wobble' base-pairing, i.e. permitting non-standard base-pairing at the 3rd anti-codon position. Lineage: Bacteria; Pseudomonadati; Candidatus Zixiibacteriota. The record is from RNAcentral.
GGGCCUAUAGCUCAGUCGGUUAGAGCGCGCGCCUGAUAAGCGCGAGGUCACUGGUUCAACUCCAGUUAGGCCCA